CAAUUCUCUUCUGCUGGAUCAGAAAAAACAGGACUUCCAGCCAUUCUUCAAGUGAAACAAUGGACAACUUUGAUUUGUAUAACAGCAUCUCAGCUCAACCAGCAGAGCUGGAACUUAACUCCGGUGAGAUCAAGAACAAAACAGAGACCGUCUAUUCCACUGUUCAGCCAUUUCAACCCCUAGAACAGGACGAUGCCCCCUAUGCUGUUGUGGACUUCAGAAAAAAAUCAACUCCUGAGCUCAAUGACCAGGCUGAGGAUAUUGAAACACUGUGAAAUACAAGCCAAAGAUGACAAAAUACAACAACACACCGGCCUGUGCAGGACCUGAAAAUUGUUCUGUUCAUGAUGUCAGCAUUGCAUUAACGUUUAUUGAUGAGUAUGAACAAAUUGUGGGCUCUCUUCACAGCAUUAAGGGAUACUCAUAUAGGAACUGAAACUAGGACGUUUGAAAGGCUUAGCGGCUCUUGAUCUUAAGACACUCACUCUCAGGCUGUCUCACACCAAAUAAGAGGAAGCCUCAAACCAGUGCUUUCUAUUUACUGUGUAUUCUCUUUCACACAUUACAAAGUCUGAACAUCGGCAUCAGGCUUUGCUUCACACGUCAGCACAACCAGAGAUCAAAAUUACAAAGAUCACAAAGAAAAAUAGCACAGCUCAGGUUCCUAGAAAGUCAAAAUUUCUUUCAUGUUUGUUAGAACUGGUCUUAUUAGAAUUAACUGUGUAAAAGGCCAAUAAAUCCAAAUUAUCUCAGAAGAUAUGCACACCCCUUUAGCUAUCCAGCCAGUUAGGUAUGUGCCAUUUUAGGGGUUAUGGCUUUUAUUCACAAACUGGGAGUUUUAUUGAAGUUUUUAUAAUUGCCAUCUAUAUCUUUUUUAUUCAAAACUGCUGACUAGCAGUAAUGUGAGAAAUUAUAUCAACACCAGUUCAGAGCUGGUUUGCCAGACUACACUAUUAGCAUUGUAGACAUUUACAGCAGCAGAGACACUACAAAAGAGAGAAACUGGAUACUCCAAGACUGCAGAAUUGCACAACAGAGAAGAAGGAAGUGGAAAGAGAACUUCCAGGGAAGAAAGCUUUUUAAAACUUAAUUUGGAACAGUGACAACAAACUUUAUCAAGUUUUAUCAGAUUUCAUUGGCAUACAUCCUGUUUUGGUUUUGUUUGUCCCAGUGACCAUUAGAAGUAAAGUUAAU
Long non-coding RNA from Archocentrus centrarchus (flier cichlid), 1194 nucleotides. RefSeq lists it as uncharacterized. The record is from RefSeq and is a predicted model, not a curated record. The transcript has 4 exons. Lineage: Eukaryota; Metazoa; Chordata; Actinopteri; Cichliformes; Cichlidae.